Molecule: long non-coding RNA, 783 nt
Filed under: Nicotiana tabacum (common tobacco)
Lineage: Eukaryota; Viridiplantae; Streptophyta; Magnoliopsida; Solanales; Solanaceae
Description: long non-coding RNA (NTAB_LNC013777)
Source: RNAcentral
AACAAAAGAAAAAAAAAAAAGAACUAAUCUUUAGGUGUUGUGUACACUGUACAGUAGGACCUAAAAUAUUGAUGGAGCGCAAUAUGAAUAUUCAGGAAAUCAAAAUAGCUGGUAUCUUUGGCGUGCCUAUGUAGUAUUUUAAUUCAUAAAGCUAAAAGUUACACGUAUAUAAUAUAGUGUCACCUAACUAGGAAAGAAACCAAUACAUGUAAAUAAAUAAGAAAACCUUAAUCUAUUACUGCCUUACUCCCCAAUGUCAAGCCAAAGUUUCAGUUUCACGGACUUACAAGCCAAGCAAACAGCAACAAGUUUAAUCGCAGCCAAGCAAGCCCGUUGUUACUUGUUGCUACCACUAUAAAUCUGCAACUACGCAGUUAUAUUAGAAUCAAUCAAAAUAUAUAAUAUAGUACAUGAGUUGCUAUUGAAUUGAGGUGAGACAACGUACGUUUAUCCUUUCUUGUUUUGUUUUUUGAACCUUUGUUUGUUUUGGGAAACAGGAUUUGACUCAGGAUCGCCCAUCUUUGUUAAUCCCUGCAUUCAUUUGAAUUUGGAAGCGAUCACUUAGUAAAUCUCCAUAUAUACGAAGGCUCAAUUCCCUUAAGUCCGUAGCGGAAUUAAGUGAUGGUGAUGGACUUUUUGGUGACAAGAAGGGGAGGAGGAGGAAAUCUAAUAACACCUUCAGGACAAACUCCAAAUGAUGUGCUUGAUCUCUCAGUUAUAGACAGUUUAGCAGUACUUCGAUGCAAUGCACGUACGUUGCACGUGUUUAAAGGAGGAGACGCU